RNAcentral lists this ribosomal RNA (1902 nucleotides) under Triticum aestivum (bread wheat). RNAcentral's name for it is "partial small subunit ribosomal RNA". Lineage: Eukaryota; Viridiplantae; Streptophyta; Magnoliopsida; Poales; Poaceae. The record is from RNAcentral.
AUGGAAGAAGCUCCCGUGACCGCGGCCACGGGGGCUUUGGGACCCGUCGUAGCCAAGCUGGGUGAUUUGCUGGGCCGCGAGUACAAGCUUCGGCGCCCGACGCGCAAGGACGUCAAGUUCAUCAAAUCCAAGCUCAAGUCUGUGCACUGCAUCCUUUGGGAGAUAUGGGACAAGGAGAUUCUUGAUUGGGAAUCCAAGGUCUUGAAGAAGGAAGCGCUGGAUCUCGCCGAUGAUAUGCAGGACGCUGUCGACGACUUCAUCCUCACCAUGGAGCCCAGUUGCAGAAACAAGAACUUGAUGGUGCAGAGAAAGAUCAAAGCCAGCUGCCCUUUCCAAGAUCUGAAGAAGAGGGUAGAUGACGUGUCGGGCCGGUGCCGCAGCAAGUGGAAGUGGGAGAACAACAAGUCUGUUGAACCCUUCUCCAGCUUAUUUUCAAGAAUGAACGCCAAAUCCAGCGCCCCCAGCAAACAGCCUCCUCGAGGUCCAUUUGUCCACAAGGAUGAGUCAGAGUUAGUUGGUCUGCAGUUCUCGGGGUACGAACUCUUCACAUACCUGGUAGAUGAAAAACCGCAGCUAAAAAUGGCAUCCAUUGUUGGAAUGGCUGGGAUGGGCAAAACAACCCUUGCCCACCUUGUUUAUGGGGACAAGGAGAUUGGAAAUAAGUUCCAGUGCCGAGCUUUUGUGUCCGUCACUCCAACUCCCGACAUGAAGGAGGCUCUCACAAGUAUUCUCCAACAACUAGAAGCUGAACCACCUGCUGGCACCCAAGCAAGAACAGCAGAACAAAUCAUCCACACCAUAUCCAGUUUCCUAGAGGACAAAAGGUACCUGGUAAUAAUUGAUGACAUAUGGCAUCGUGCAGAAUGGGACAUCAUCAGGAGGGCUUUCCCAGAAAAUAAUCUUGGCAGUAGAAUUAUCAUCACAACUCGUAUUGAUUCUGUACCAGGAGAUGAUUUGGAUAAUAGCAAGCUCUACAUCAGAAUGAAUCCUAGAUGGGGUUCUGAAAAGGAUAGAUGGGUCUACGGAGAUGAUAGAAGAUGGCUCUACAGCCAUGAUGAGGAAGAGGAAGAUGUCGUUGCUCGGAUGAAGCCUGACAUUGUUCGAGAAGGUUUUGACUGUGACCAUCCUAUUGUGUGCAUGUGUAAUGGUGUUCCGUUAGCACUAAUUUGCAUGUUCUCAGCAAUGGCAAUGGUCCUCCAAGAGCAACAAGAACGACUAGGGGAAAAUGUAAAGGCAUGUGAUGUGCAAGAUAAGAUUUUCAAACAAGUUAAGGAAAACGGAAUUCAGAACACUCCAGGGUUUGAACCGUUGGUAGAGAGUUUGCAGCUUGGCUACACCGAUCUUCCUCACCAUAUGUUGAAGACCUGCUUGUUGUACUGCAGUGUAUACCCUCAGAAUUACCCUUUUCACAUGAAUGAUUUGGUCAUGAGAUGGGUCGCUGAAGGAUUUAUUUAUAAAGAGGAUACAGGAAAAGAUUAUUUCAAAGAGCUUUGCAACAGGGGAUUUAUGCUGUAUGUGGAGAGUCCGUAUGGCAUGCCCUGCUACAAAAUGAAUCCGAUGAUGCGGAAUUUCCUUAGAUGGAAAUCACAUGAAGAUAGUUUCAUUACUUGCAGUUCUGACAUCACACCGCCAUAUGCAUGUCCAAUCCAUCGGCUAUGUAUUGAUGAUUAUCUAGUUGAUGACAGUGCGGUGGAGGUGGUGGAUACCUUGUUGGAACUGGAUUGGUCCCAGAUUCGAUCUCUUGUUUUUUAUAAGGUGCUAAGGGAUAUGUCCCUUUUGAGAAGUUGGAACGUGUGCGGGUGUUGGAUCUUCAAUAUCAUCAUCAUCAUCUUGAAUUCGAAAAGUCUCGUCGUGAUCCAUUUGAGUAUUUUGGAUUCGAGGCCCUUGGAAAUCAGCAUGUGA